RNAcentral lists this ribosomal RNA (267 nucleotides) under uncultured bacterium. Its description in RNAcentral is "partial 16S ribosomal RNA". It matches the Rfam family "Bacterial small subunit ribosomal RNA", at positions 793 to 1055 of the family's 1533-position model. The record is from RNAcentral.
GUCCACGCCCUAAACGAUGUCAACUAGGUGUUGGGUGGGUAAAACCAUUUAGUACCGGAGCUAACGCGUGAAGUUGACCGCCUGGGGAGUACGGCCGCAAGGUUAAAACUCAAAGGAAUUGACGGGGACCCGCACAAGCGGUGGAUGAUGUGGAUUAAUUCGAUGCAACGCGAAAAACCUUACCUACCCUUGACAUGUCCGGAAGCCCUUAGAGAUUUGGGUGUGCUCGAAAAGAGAGCCGGAACACAGGUGCUGCAUGGCUGUCGU